GGUCCGAUGGCCGAGAGGUUAGGCAAAGGUCUGCAAAACCUUUUACAGCGGUUCAAUUCCGCUUCGGACCUCAA
This 74-nucleotide transfer RNA is filed under the name Candidatus Moraniibacteriota bacterium. RNAcentral's name for it is "Candidatus Moranbacteria bacterium (sediment metagenome) tRNA-Cys". It matches the Rfam family "tRNA". Rfam says of the family: Transfer RNA (tRNA) molecules are approximately 80 nucleotides in length. Lineage: Bacteria; Candidatus Moraniibacteriota. The record is from RNAcentral.